CAGCCGCCGCGGGAAUACGAAGGGUGCAAGCGUUAAUCGGAAUUACUGGGCGUAAAGCGUGCGUACGCGGUGAGUUAAGUCUGCUGUGAAAUCCCCGGGCUCAACCUGGGAAUGGCAGUGGAUACUGGCUCGCUAGAGUGUGUCAGAGGAUGGUGGAAUUCCCGGUGUAGCGGUGAAAUGCGUAGAGAUCGGGAGGAACAUCAGUGGCGAAGGCGGCCAUCUGGGACAACACUGACGCUGAGGCACGAAAGCGUGGGGAGCAAACAGGAUUAGAUACCCCAGUAGUCCCUGUCUCUUAUAC
This 301-nucleotide ribosomal RNA is filed under the name uncultured bacterium. Its description in RNAcentral is "partial 16S ribosomal RNA". It matches the Rfam family "Bacterial small subunit ribosomal RNA", at positions 509 to 807 of the family's 1533-position model. The record is from RNAcentral.